This is a long non-coding RNA of Ananas comosus (pineapple), 329 nucleotides long. RefSeq lists it as uncharacterized. The record is from RefSeq and is a predicted model, not a curated record. The transcript has 2 exons. Lineage: Eukaryota; Viridiplantae; Streptophyta; Magnoliopsida; Poales; Bromeliaceae.
UAUAUAUAUAUAUAUAUAUAUAUAUAUAUAUAUAUAUAUAUAUAUAUAUAUAUAUAUAUAUAUAUAUAUCUAUGCUAUGUUUGCUGACCUCUGUGGUAGUGGUCAUAUCCUAGGUUGUCUGUGCGUCGACAUUCUCUUUCUUUCAAGUAGUCCAACCAAGAACUUGUUGAAAAUUCUUGAAACUUACUGUUAAGUGGCAGGGACUCGCGAUGGAAUAAUCUCUGGAUUAUUGUGAUGUUACUACCGUAGGAAAAUUUCUGCAUGAUUUGUGAGUAAUUAUAUAGGCUAAUUUAUAGCUGAAGAUCUGCCUUUCUGAUGUUGUAUGAGCA